AUUGAACGCUGGCGGCAUGCCUUACACAUGCAAGUCGAACGGCAGCACGGGAGCAAUCCUGGUGGCGAGUGGCGAACGGGUGAGUAAUAUAUCGGAACGUGCCCAGUAGUGGGGGAUAACCCGGCGAAAGUCGGACUAAUACCGCAUACGACCUACGGGUGAAAGCGGGGGAUCGCAAGACCUCGCGCUAUCGGAGCGGCCGAUAUCAGAUUAGCUUGUUGGUGGGGUAAAAGCCUACCAAGGCGACGAUCUGUAGCUGGUCUGAGAGGACGACCAGCCACACUGGGACUGAGACACGGCCCAGACUCCUACGGGAGGCAGCAGUGGGGAAUUUUGGACAAUGGGCGCAAGCCUGAUCCAGCCAUGCCGCGUGCGGGAAGAAGGCCUCGGUUGUAA
RNAcentral lists this ribosomal RNA (396 nucleotides) under uncultured bacterium. Its description in RNAcentral is "bacterial SSU rRNA". It matches the Rfam family "Bacterial small subunit ribosomal RNA", at positions 29 to 428 of the family's 1533-position model. The record is from RNAcentral.